GGAGGGGGCUAGCGUUGUUCGGAAUUACUGGGCGUAAAGGGCGCGUAGGCGGUAUGCCAUGUCAGGGGUGAAAGGCCUGGGCUCAACCCAGGAACUGCCUUUGAAACUGGCAAACUAGAGUCCGAUAGAGGAUGGCGGAAUUCCCAGUGUAGAGGUGAAAUUCGUAGAUAUUGGGAAGAACACCAGUGGCGAAGGCGGCUAUCUGGAUCGGCACUGACGCUGAGGCGCGAAAGCGUGGGGAGCAAACAGGGAUUAGAUACCCUGGUAGUCCACGCCGUAAACGAUGUGUGCUAGACGUUGGGGGCCUUAGGCCCCUGGGUGUCGCAGCUAACGCAUUAAGCACACCGCCUGGGGAGUACGGCCGCAAGGUUAA
RNAcentral lists this ribosomal RNA (373 nucleotides) under uncultured organism. RNAcentral describes it as "partial 16S ribosomal RNA". It matches the Rfam family "Bacterial small subunit ribosomal RNA", at positions 527 to 897 of the family's 1533-position model. The record is from RNAcentral.